UACGGGGGGAGCAAGCGUUGUUCGGAUUUACUGGGCGUAAAGGGCGCGUAGGCGGCCACCGCAAGUCAAUUGUGAAAUCUCCGGGCUUAACUCGGAAAGGUCAACUGAUACUGCGGGGCUAGAGUGCGGAAGGGGCAACUGGAAUUCUCGGUGUAGCGGUGAAAUGCGUAGAUAUCAAGAGGAACACCUGCGGCGAAGGCGGGUUGCUGGGCCGACACUGACGCUGAUGCGCGAAAGCCAGGGGAGCGAACGGG
This 254-nucleotide ribosomal RNA is filed under the name uncultured bacterium. RNAcentral's name for it is "partial 16S ribosomal RNA". It matches the Rfam family "Bacterial small subunit ribosomal RNA", at positions 524 to 776 of the family's 1533-position model. The record is from RNAcentral.